This 330-nucleotide long non-coding RNA is filed under the name Elaeis guineensis (African oil palm). RNAcentral's name for it is "long non-coding RNA (EGUI_LNC061514)". Lineage: Eukaryota; Viridiplantae; Streptophyta; Magnoliopsida; Arecales; Arecaceae. The record is from RNAcentral.
AAAGAUGAGAUGAUUAAAGACUUGUUUUUAGGAUUAGAGAAUUACUCAACGAAGAAGUAAUCUUGAUUAUUUUGAGGACUUGAGCAAAGUAAAUUUUGAGAAUGAAACUUUUUUUUAGGAGAGAGGAGAAUGUAAUACCCCAUCCAGCUACACAAAUCUUAAAGCAACUCAAAAAAAAUUAUAGAGAAGACUCCUAACAAGCGUCUUCUUUCAUUAGACUCCAGAUCGGAGUCGAUGAAUGACUAUAGGGAGAGUCCAACUCCUCCCUCAUCCACCUCUAUUUAGAGAGACUAAGUCCCUUUGUGGAACCCAUCACUGACUAACUGCCCA